GACGAACGCUGGCGGCGUGCCCAAUACAUGCAAGUUGAGCGCUGAAGGUUGGUACUUGUACCAACUGGAUGAGCAGCGAACGGGUGAGUAACGCGUGGGGAAUCUGCCUUUGAGCGGGGGACAACAUUUGGAAACGAAUGCUGAUACCGCAUAAAAACUUUAAACACAAGUUUUAAGUUUGAAAGAUGCAAUUGCAUCACUCAAAGAUGAUCCCGCGUUGUAUUAGCUAGUUGGUGAGGUAAAGGCUCACCAAGGCGAUGAUACAUAGCCGACCUGAGAGGGUGAUCGGCCACAUUGGGACUGAGACACGGCCCAAACGCCUACGGGAGGCAGCAGUAGGGAAUCUUCGGCAAUGGACGAAAGUCUGACCGAGCAACGCCGCGUGAGUGAAGAAGGGUUUCGGAUCGUAAAACUCUGUUGGUAGAGAAGAACGUUGGUGAGAGUGGAAAGCUCAUCAAGUGACGGUAACUACCCAGAAAGGGACGGCUAACUACGUG
Molecule: ribosomal RNA, 497 nt
Filed under: uncultured bacterium
Lineage: Bacteria
Description: partial 16S ribosomal RNA
Rfam family: Bacterial small subunit ribosomal RNA
Source: RNAcentral